This 74-nucleotide transfer RNA is filed under the name Nitrososphaera viennensis EN76. RNAcentral's name for it is "tRNA-Val (GAC) (tRNA-Val-GAC-1-1)". It matches the Rfam family "tRNA". Rfam says of the family: Transfer RNA (tRNA) molecules are approximately 80 nucleotides in length. Their secondary structure includes four short double-helical elements and three loops (D, anti-codon, and T loops). Further hydrogen bonds mediate the characteristic L-shaped molecular structure. tRNAs have two regions of fundamental functional importance: the anti-codon, which is responsible for specific mRNA codon recognition, and the 3' end, to which the tRNAs corresponding amino acid is attached (by aminoacyl-tRNA synthetases). tRNAs cope with the degeneracy of the genetic code in two manners: having more than one tRNA (with a specific anti-codon) for a particular amino acid; and 'wobble' base-pairing, i.e. permitting non-standard base-pairing at the 3rd anti-codon position. The record is from Rfam by way of RNAcentral. Lineage: Archaea; Thermoproteati; Nitrososphaerota; Nitrososphaeria; Nitrososphaerales; Nitrososphaeraceae. RNAcentral also lists the same sequence under 5 other names.
GGGCGGGUGGUCUAGCUCGGUAUGAUACCUCGUUGACAUCGAGGUGGUCGCGUGUUCAAAUCACGCCUCGCCCA